This 372-nucleotide ribosomal RNA is filed under the name uncultured organism. Its description in RNAcentral is "bacterial SSU rRNA". It matches the Rfam family "Bacterial small subunit ribosomal RNA", at positions 526 to 896 of the family's 1533-position model. The record is from RNAcentral.
CGAGGGGUGCAAGCGUUGCUCGGAAUUAUUGGGCGUAAAGGGUAGGUAGGUGGUCUCAUUUGUCUGGGGUGAAAUCCUUGAGCUUAACUCAAGAAGUGCCCUAGAAACGGUAAGACUAGAGUCCUGGAGAGGGUCGUGGAAUUCCCGGUGUAGCGGUGAAAUGCGUAGAGAUCGGGAGGAACACCAGAGGCGAAGGCGGCGACCUGGACAGGUACUGACACUAAACUACGAAAGCGUGGGGAGCAAACAGGAUUAGAUACCCUGGUAGUCCACGCUGUAAACGAUGAGUACUAGGCUUGGUGGGUCUUGACCCCCGCUGAGCCGGAGCUAACGCACUAAGUACUCCGCCUGGGAAGUACGGUCGCAAGACUA